RNAcentral lists this unclassified non-coding RNA (622 nucleotides) under Hevea brasiliensis (rubber tree). The record is from RNAcentral. Lineage: Eukaryota; Viridiplantae; Streptophyta; Magnoliopsida; Malpighiales; Euphorbiaceae.
CUCAAUUUGAUCCACUAAGAAACCCACAUCACAAAAACUCAACCCAUCAUCAUCACCAUCAUCAUUUUCUCUAUUGUCCUUAUCAUCAUUAACAUUAGCAUCAGCAAUUUCUUCAAUCUGAACCCCUUCAUCCAUCUCUCUUGAGCUCGAAGUCGCAUUCUCCCAAUAACUAUCAUAAUCGCCAUCAAUGUCAUCAUCCAAAUAAUCAUCUUCAUUCGCCAGAUGAUUCAAAAUCCCAGUAGCAGAAACCCCAGAAAAGUUCAAGCCAGGACGACCAUCCACCAUCCGCCAAUUGAUCAACCUAUAAUUAGAAGCAACAUCAAGGGACUUAAGCUUCUCGGUACCUUUAGUCUUGUCCUUGGACUUGCAAGAAGGGUGCAAGUGACAGCCAUUACAGCGAGGCCUGGUGCACUUUCCGGUGAACUUGGAAUGGUUGGUGGGUCGAGGGUGGACCUUGGCGAAUAAUCCGGCAGUAGGGGGAGAGUCAAACCUGUUGAAGAAUCUGGAGUGGGGCUUGGGGUUCCAUGGAGAAGGCAAGAUCCUGUAGGUCCUAACCAUUCCAUGCUGGCGACCUUCCCUCCUCAUCUUGGAUAAGAAUGGCUUUGUGGGCUAGAAGAAAAAC